GGAUCCGUGGCGCAAUGGUAGCGUGUCUGACUCCAUUUCAAAAGGUUGCGUGUUUGAUUCUUGUUGGGUUCA
Molecule: transfer RNA, 72 nt
Filed under: Ipomoea nil (Japanese morning glory)
Lineage: Eukaryota; Viridiplantae; Streptophyta; Magnoliopsida; Solanales; Convolvulaceae
Rfam family: tRNA
About the family: Transfer RNA (tRNA) molecules are approximately 80 nucleotides in length. Their secondary structure includes four short double-helical elements and three loops (D, anti-codon, and T loops).
Source: Rfam by way of RNAcentral